UACGGAGGAUGCAAGCGUUAUCCGGAAUGAUUGGGCGUAAAGCGUCCGUAGGUGGCAAUUCAAGUCUGCCGUUAAAGACUAGGGCUUAACCCUGGAAAAGCGGUGGAAACUGAAUAGCUGGAGUGCGGUAGGGGUAGAGGGAAUUCCCAGUGUAGCGGUGAAAUGCGUAGAGAUUGGGAAGAACACCAGUGGCGAAGGCGCUCUACUGGACCUGCACUGACACUGAGGGACGAAAGCUAGGGGAGCGAAAGGG
RNAcentral lists this ribosomal RNA (253 nucleotides) under uncultured bacterium. RNAcentral's name for it is "partial 16S ribosomal RNA". It matches the Rfam family "Bacterial small subunit ribosomal RNA", at positions 524 to 776 of the family's 1533-position model. The record is from RNAcentral.